CUGGUCUUCCUGUCAUAACAUACAUUACUUACCAUUUGCCCCAGGGCCUCCUCUGGGCUCCUGGUCUUCGAGUCCCAUAACCGUGCCAGGCCGUAGAAUGGGGUCCUGGUCUUUCCUUACAUAGUGGCAGGCUGUAGAAUGGGGUCCUGGUCUUCCUGUCAUGGACUAAUUGGGUCAUCCAACAUUCACCCACAUCAACAACAAUCGAUGCAAUGCGGCAUAUUCGUGAAACUAAUGCAAUCAUCCUAUUGCAUAAUAAUGAUGCAUGAAACAUGAUAAAACAUUUAAUUUAAAAGAUUAAGU
This 303-nucleotide long non-coding RNA is filed under the name Manihot esculenta (cassava). RNAcentral describes it as "long non-coding RNA (MESC_LNC000768)". Lineage: Eukaryota; Viridiplantae; Streptophyta; Magnoliopsida; Malpighiales; Euphorbiaceae. The record is from RNAcentral.